AGAGUUUGAUCAUGGCUCAGAUUGAACGCUGGCGGCAGGCCUAACACAUGCAAGUCGAACGGUAACAGGAAGCAGCUUGCUGCUUUGCUGACGAGUGGCGGACGGGUGAGUAAUGUCUGGGAAACUGCCUGAUGGAGGGGGAUAACUACUGGAAACGGUGGCUAAUACCGCAUAACGUCGCAAGACCAAAGAGGGGGACCUUCGGGCCUCUUGCCAUCAGAUGUGCCCAGAUGGGAUUAGCUAGUUGGUGAGGUAACGGCUCACCAAGGCGACGAUCCCUAGCUGGUCUGAGAGGAUGACCAGCCACACUGGAACUGAGACACGGUCCAGACUCCUACGGGAGGCAGCAGUGGGGAAUAUUGCACAAUGGGCGCAAGCCUGAUGCAGCCAUGCCGCGUGUAUGAAGAAGGCCUUCGGGUUGUAAAGUACUUUCAGCGGGGAGGAAGGUGUUGUGGUUAAUAACCACAGCAAUUGACGUUACCCGCAGAAGAAGCACCGGCUAACUCCGUGCCAGCAGCCGCGGUAAUACGGAGGGUGCAAGCGUUAAUCGGAAUUACUGGGCGUAAAGCGCACGCAGGCGGUCUGUCAAGUCGGAUGUGAAAUCCCCGGGCUCAACCUGGGAACUGCAUUCGAAACUGGCAGGCUUGAGUCUUGUAGAGGGGGGUAGAAUUCCAGGUGUAGCGGUGAAAUGCGUAGAGAUCUGGAGGAAUACCGGUGGCGAAGGCGGCCCCCUGGACAAAGACUGACGCUCAGGUGCGAAAGCGUGGGGAGCAAACAGGAUUAGAUACCCUGGUAGUCCACGCCGUAAACGAUGUCUACUUGGAGGUUGUGCCCUUGAGGCGUGGCUUCCGGAGCUAACGCGUUAAGUAGACCGCCUGGGGAGUACGGCCGCAAGGUUAAAACUCAAAUGAAUUGACGGGGGCCCGCACAAGCGGUGGAGCAUGUGGUUUAAUUCGAUGCAACGCGAAGAACCUUACCUGGUCUUGACAUCCACAGAAGAAUCCAGAGAUGGAUUUGUGCCUUCGGGAACUGUGAGACAGGUGCUGCAUGGCUGUCGUCAGCUCGUGUUGUGAAAUGUUGGGUUAAGUCCCGCAACGAGCGCAACCCUUAUCCUUUGUUGCCAGCGAUUAGGUCGGGAACUCAAAGGAGACUGCCAGUGAUAAACUGGAGGAAGGUGGGGAUGACGUCAAGUCAUCAUGGCCCUUACGACCAGGGCUACACACGUGCUACAAUGGCGCAUACAAAGAGAAGCGACCUCGCGAGAGCAAGCGGACCUCAUAAAGUGCGUCGUAGUCCGGAUUGGAGUCUGCAACUCGACUCCAUGAAGUCGGAAUCGCUAGUAAUCGUGGAUCAGAAUGCCACGGUGAAUACGUUCCCGGGCCUUGUACACACCGCCCGUCACACCAUGGGAGUGGGUUGCAAAAGAAGUAGGUAGCUUAACCUUCGGGAGGGCGCUUACCACUUUGUGAUUCAUGACUGGGGUGAAGUCGUAACAAGGUAACCGUAGGGGAACCUGCGGUUG
Molecule: ribosomal RNA, 1522 nt
Filed under: Salmonella enterica subsp. enterica serovar Bonariensis
Lineage: Bacteria; Pseudomonadati; Pseudomonadota; Gammaproteobacteria; Enterobacterales; Enterobacteriaceae
Description: bacterial SSU rRNA
Rfam family: Bacterial small subunit ribosomal RNA
Source: RNAcentral